Molecule: long non-coding RNA, 772 nt
Organism: Lucilia sericata (common green bottle fly)
Lineage: Eukaryota; Metazoa; Arthropoda; Insecta; Diptera; Calliphoridae
Exons: 2
Source: RefSeq, a predicted model, not a curated record
UAUAAUUUUUAAAAGUACAACUCGGUUAUAAUUUAUAAAAAGUACAAAACGUUAUAAAAUUGAAAUUUCUUUUUAAAAAGAAAUUUUAAUUAAAUAUUCUUUAUAACCGGGAAUUACUUUACUUCUAGUUUAUAAUAUUUUAUGAUGAUAAUACUAAUUAUGUCUUCUUUUCCCGACAUAAUUAAUAUACUUUUGAUGAUAAUAUAAAAACUGAUUAUAAAACAAACAACAAGUUAAUGGAUAAUAAUCGAAAUCCAACGAAUUUCAUGGUGGUGUUGCCAGUGAUUCCAUCUUAAAUAGUUAAAUUUUUUUAAUGAAAAACUCUAGUAAAAAAUUGUUUUCGUGAAAAAGCUUUACAGUCAAACCUAAGCCAAUCCCACAAGCUUAGAUAGAGAGUGCAUCGUCCUAAAGGACUUCUAAAACAAAAAGUCCUUGCAGUCAAUUCUUUGGCCAAUUCAAUUACAAAUUUAGAAUUAAAUUUUUACAUAUCAAAUUACUUGUUUGUUGUAUUUUUUAAAAUAAUAUUCAAAAAUUCAAAAUUAAGAAUUUUUAAUUAAAUGUUUUUUUUCUCUAUUAUUUUACAGCUAUUAACCAAACCUUUCAAGAUUUGUCUUUCAUAAAUAUGGAGUUCACAAAGGUAUGUAUGUACUAUCAAAAUAUCGAUUUAAGGAAAUGGGAUGGAUGACAUUCAGAUUUUUUGACAUUCAUUAUUUUUCUAUUUUAUUUAUAGUUUAAAAUUAUUUUAGAAAAUAAAAUAUAAAAAUUAAAUUAA